UUAUGCAGAAGAGGAGCACUGCCCAGGCAGGUGUUUCGUGGAGCCGCAACUCCGAUACGAAAUACUCAGGGGGAGCAGUGCCGAGGUAGAUCAAGGUUGCUGGAAUUGAUCUGUCGGUUGACUUGGGUUGAGUCCCAUCAACUGUCAUCAGCACCGUCUGAUGAAGAGCUUCUGAGGGA
Molecule: non-coding RNA, 179 nt
Filed under: Vibrio sp.
Lineage: Bacteria; Pseudomonadati; Pseudomonadota; Gammaproteobacteria; Vibrionales; Vibrionaceae
Also listed under: 1 other name
Description: Lysine sequence
Rfam family: Lysine riboswitch aptamer
About the family: Riboswitches are metabolite binding domains within certain messenger RNAs that serve as precision sensors for their corresponding targets.
Source: RNAcentral